RNAcentral lists this transfer RNA (74 nucleotides) under Candidatus Woesearchaeota archaeon. RNAcentral describes it as "tRNA-Val". It matches the Rfam family "tRNA". Rfam says of the family: Transfer RNA (tRNA) molecules are approximately 80 nucleotides in length. Their secondary structure includes four short double-helical elements and three loops (D, anti-codon, and T loops). Further hydrogen bonds mediate the characteristic L-shaped molecular structure. tRNAs have two regions of fundamental functional importance: the anti-codon, which is responsible for specific mRNA codon recognition, and the 3' end, to which the tRNAs corresponding amino acid is attached (by aminoacyl-tRNA synthetases). tRNAs cope with the degeneracy of the genetic code in two manners: having more than one tRNA (with a specific anti-codon) for a particular amino acid; and 'wobble' base-pairing, i.e. permitting non-standard base-pairing at the 3rd anti-codon position. The record is from RNAcentral. Lineage: Archaea; Nanobdellati; Candidatus Woesearchaeota.
GAGCCUGUGGCGUAGUCUGGUAGCGCAUCGCCCUUACAAGGCGGGGGUCGGGAGUUCAAAUCUCCCCGGGCUCA